Molecule: long non-coding RNA, 10256 nt
Filed under: Equus caballus (horse)
Lineage: Eukaryota; Metazoa; Chordata; Mammalia; Perissodactyla; Equidae
Description: lncRNA (ENSECAG00000045014.1)
Source: RNAcentral
UGAGAAUGUGUUUCUAAGUCAUUAACUACUAUUUUUCAGCAUCAUUUUAUUUUUAUUUAGGUAACAUUGGUUUAUAACAUUAUAUAGAUUUCAGAUGUACAACAUUAUAAUUCAGCAUCUAUAUACACUACAGCUUGCUCACCACCAAAAGUCUAGUUUCCAUCUGUCACCAUACAAUUGACCCCCUUUACCCAUUUCACCCACCCCGCAACCCCUUUCUCUUUUGGUUACCACAAAUCUAUUGUCUAUAUCUGUGAAUUUCUUUUUGUUUUGUUUUGUUCAUUUAUUUAUCUUCCACAUAUGAGUGAGAUCAUAUAAUAUUUGUCUUUCUCUGACUUAUUUCACUUAGCAUAAUACCCAUAAGGUCCAUCCAUGUUGUUGCAAAUGGCAAGAUUUCAUCUUUUUUAUGACUAACAUUACAUUGUGUGUAUAUAUAUAUAUAUAUAUAUAUAUACCACAUCUUCUUUAUCCAUUCAUCUGUCAAUGGACAUUUAAGUUGUUUCCAUAUCUUGGCUGUUGUGAAUGAUGCUGCAGUGAGCUUAGGAAUGCAUAUAUCUUUUCAAAUUAGUGUUUUCAUAUUCUUUGGAUAAAUACCCAGAAGUGGAAUAGUUGAAUCAUAUGGUGGUUCUAGUCUUAAUUUUUUGAGAAGUCUCCAUACUGUUUUCCAUAGUGGCUGCACCAAUUUACAUUCCCACCGCCAGUGUACGAGGGAUUCCUUUUUCUCUGCAUUCUCUCCAGCACUUGUUAUUUCUUGGCUUUUUGACAAUACCCAUUCUAACAGGUGUGAGGUGAUAUUUCAUUGUGAUUUUGAUUUGCAUCCCCCUAAUAAUUAGUGAUGUUGAACAUCUUUUCAUUUGCCUGUUGGCCAUCUGUAUGUCUUCUUUGGAAAAUUUACUUUUCAAAUCCUCUACUUGUUCUUUUGUUUGUUUUUUGGGGUUUUUUUUGAGGAAAUUAGCCCUGAGCUAACAUCCACCACCAAUCUUCCUCUUUUUGCUGAGGAAGAUUGGCCCUGAGCUAACAUCUGUGCCCGUCUUCCUCUACUUUAUUUGUGAAACACCUGUCACAGCAUGGCUUGAUAAGCAGUACAUAGGUCCACGCGUGGGAUCCGAACUAGCGAACCCUGGACCACUGAAGCAGAGUGUGCGAACUUAACCAGUACACCACUGGGCCGGCCCUUUUCUGCCCAUUUUUUAAUCAGGUUAUUUGCUUUUUUUCUUGUUGAGUUGAGUGGGUUAUUUAUAUAUUUUGGAUAUUAACUGCUUAUCAGAUAUAUGGUUUCCAAAUAUCUUCUCCCGUUCAGUGGGUUGUCUUUUCGUUUUUUGAUGGUUUCCUUUGCUGUGCAGAAGCUUUUUAGUUUGAUGUAGUCUCAUUUAUUUUCGCUUUUGUUUCCCUUGCCGUUGGAGUCAAAUCCACACAAACAUUGCUAAGACCAAUGUCAAGGAUCUUAUGGCCUAUGUUCCCUUUUUCUUUCUUUCUUUCUUUUUUUGGUCUGAGGAAGAUUGGCCCUGAGCUAACAUCUGCUGCCAAUCUUCCUCUUUCUGUAUUUGAGCUGCCACCACAGCACGGCCAUUGACAUACGAGUGGUGUAAGUCUGCGCCUGGAAACUGAAUGCAGGCCAUUGAAGCAGAGCACACCAAACUUAACCACUAGUCCACUGGGGCUUGGCCUAUGUUUUCUUCUAUGUGUUUUAUGGUUUCAGGACUUGCAUUCAAGUCUUUAAUCCACUUGAGUUAAUUUUUGUGUAUGGUGUAAGAUAGUGGUCUAGUUUCAUUCUUUUGCAUGUGGCUGUCCAGUUUUCCCACCACCAUUUAUUGAAGAGACUUUACUUGCUCUGUUGUAUGUUCUUGGCUCCUUUGCUGUAAAUUAGUUGUCCAUAUAUGUGUGGGCUUAUUUCUGGGCUCUCAAUUCUGUUCCAUUGAUCUGUGUCUGUUUUUCUGCCAAUACCAUACUGUUUUGAUUACUAUAGCUUUGUAGUAUGUUUUGAAAUCAGGAAAUGUGAUGCUUCUGGCUUUGUUCUUUUUUCUCAAGAGUUCUUUGGCUAUUGGGGAUCUUUUGUGGUUCCAUACAAAUUUUAGGACUUUUUGUUUUCUUUCUGUGAAAAAUGCCAUCCGGAUUUUGAUAGGGAUUGCAUUGAAUCUGUAGAUUGCUUUAGGUAAUAUGGACAUUUUAACAGUGUUAAUUCUUCCAAUUCAUGAGUAUGGAAUAUUUUUUCAUUUCUUUCUAUUUUCUUCAGUUUCUUUCAACAAUGUACAGUUUUCAGUGUACAAGUCUUUAACCUCCUCAGUUAAAUUUAUUCCAAGGUAUUUUAUUCUUUUUGUUGAGAUUGUCAGUGAAAUUGUUUUCUUAAUUUCUCUUUCUGAUAGUUCAUUGUUAGUGUAUAGAAUGCAAGAGAUUUUUAUAUAUUGAUUUUGUACCCUGCAGCUUUACUGUGUUUGUUUAUCAUUUCUAAUUCUUUUUUUGUGGAGUCAUUAGGGUUUUCGUCAUCUGUAAAUAGUGACAGUUUUGCUUCUUUUUUCCAAUUUGAAUGCCAUUUAUUUCUUUUUCUUGCCUAGUUGCUCUGACUAGGACUAGGACUACGACUAAUACUGUGUUGAAUAAAAGUAGUGACAGUGGGCACUUGUCUUCUUCCUAAUCUUAGGUGAAAAGCUUUUAGUUUUUAACCAUUGAGUAUGAUUUAGCUGUGUGUAUGUCAGAUGUAGUCUUUAAUAUGCCGAGUGACUUUCUUUCUAUACCCAUUUUAUUUAGAGUUUUUAUCAUAAAUGGCUGUUGAAUUUUAUCAAAUGCCUUUUCUGCAUGUAUUGAGAGGAUCAUAUGGUUUUUUUCUUCUUCUCCUCCUCCUCUUCCACUCCCCCUUCCCCUCUUCCUUCUCCUCCUUUCCACCCCCAAAGCCCCCAGUACAUAGUUGUAUGUUCUAGUUGUAGGUCCUUCCGGUUGUGCUAUGAUCAUAUGGUUUUUAUCCUUCACUUUGUUAACGUAUCACAUUGGUUGAUUUGUGGAUGUUGAAUCAUCCUUGCAUCCCUGGAAUAAAUCCCACAUGAUCAUGGUGUGCGAUCCUUUUAUUGUAUUUGGCUUGCUAAUGUUUUACUGAGGAUUUUUGCAUGUAUGUUCAUCAGAAAUAAUGGCCUGUAAUUUUGUUUAUGUAUGUGUGUUGUCCUUGUCUGAUUUUGUUAUCAGGGUAAUGUUGGCCUCGUAAAAUGAUUUAGGAAGCAUUCUCUCCUCUUCAAUUUUUUGGAAGAGUUUAAGGAUAGGUAUUAAAUCUUCUUUGAAUGUUUGGUAGAAUUUACUAGUGAAGCUGUCUGGUCCUGGACUUUUGUUUUUUGGGAGGUUUUUGAUUCCUGUUUCAAUCUCCUUUUUUUGAUUCCUGUUUCAAUCUCCUUACUAUUCAUCAGUCUAUUCAGAUUUUCUAUUUCUUUAUGAUUUAGUCUUGGAAUGUUGUAUGAUUCCAAGAAUUAAUGCAUUUCUUCUAGAUUAUCCAAUUUGAUGGCAUGUAGCUGUUCAUAGUAGUCUCUUAUGAUCCUUUGUAUUUCUGUGGUAUCCAUUGCAACUUCUCCUCUUUCUUUUUUUCUUUUUCUUUUUUUUUGAGGAAGAUUAGCCCUGAGCUAACUACUGCCAAUCCUCUUCUUUUUGCUGAGGAAGACUGGCCCUGAGCUAACAUCUGUGCCCAUCUUCCGCUACUUUAUACAUGGGACGCCUACCACAGCAUGGGUUUUGCCAAGCAGUGCCAUGUCUGCACCUGGGAUCCGAACUGGCGAACCCCAGGUCGCUGAGAAGUGGAACGUAUGAACUUAACCACUGUGCAACCGGGCAGCCCCUCCUCUUUCAUUUUUUAUUUUAUUUAUUUGAGCCUUCUCUCUUGUUUUGUUAGUGACUCUAGCCAAAGGUUGUCAGUUUUGUUUAUCUUUUCAAAGAACCAGGUGUUAGUGUCAUUGAUCUUUUCUGUAUCUUUUUAGUCUCUAUUUUAUUUAUUUCUGCUCUGAUUUUAAUUAUUGCCUUCCUUCUACUGACUUUGGGCUUCACGUUUUCUCCUUUUUCUAGUUCCUUUAGGUGUAAAUUUAGAUUGUUUAUUUGAGAUUUUUCUUGUUUCUUGAGGUAGGCCUUUAUUGCUAUAAACUUCCCUCUUAGUACCAUGUUUGCUGCAUCCCAUAGAUUUUGGUAUGUUGUAUUUUCAUUUUCAUUUGUCUCCAAGUAGUUUUUUUUUUUUUUUUAAAGAUUUUAUUUUUUUCCUUUUUCUCCCCAAAGCCCCCCAGUACAUAGUUGUAUAAUCUUCAUUGUGGAUCCUUCUAGUUGUGGCAUGUGGGAUGCUGCCUCAGUGUGGCUUGAUGAGCAGUGCCUUGUCCAUGCCCAGGAUUUGAACCAACAAAACACUGGGCCGCCUGCAGUGGAGCAUGCGAACUUAACCACUCAGCCAUGGGGCCAGCCCCCUCCAGGUAGUUUUUCAUUUCUCUUUAGAUUCCUUCAUUGAACAGUAGUUGUUCAGCAGCAUGUUGUUUAAUCUCCACAUAUUUGUGAUUUUCCCAGCUUUCUUCUUGUACUUGAUUUUUGGUUUCAUACCAUUGUAGUCAGAAAAGACAGUUAAUAGGAUUUCAGUAUUCUUAAAUUUAUUGAGACUUGGUUUAUAUCUCAACAUGUGGACUCUCCUUGAGAAUGUUCCACAUCCACUUGAGACGAAUUUGUAUUCUUCUGCUUUUGGAUGGAUAGUUCUGUAUGUAUCUAUUAAGUCCAUCUGGUCUAAUCUGUCAUUUAAGGCCAAUGUUUCUUUGUCAACUUUCUGUCAGGAUGAUCUAGUCACUGAUGUAAGUGGGGUGUUAAAGACCACUACUUUUAUUUGUGUUACUGUCAAUUUCUUCCUUUAGGUCUGCUAGUAAUUGCUUGAUGUAUUCUGGUACUCCUACGUUUGGUGCAUAUGUUUUAAUAACUAUUAUGUCUUCUUGAUAGAUUGUUCCCUUUUUCAUUAUAUAAUGUCCAUAUUUGUCUCUUGUUAUCCUUUUUGGCUCUAUUUUGUCUGUUAUGAGUAUGGCUACACCUGCUUUAUUUUGGCUACCAUUUGUUUGGAGUAUCAUCCCUCCUGUUUGAGGCUAUGCUUGUCUUUAGAGCUAAGAUGAGUCUCUUGAAAGGCAGUAUAUUUUUUAAUCCAGCCAGCCUCUCUGUGCCUUUUGACUGCUGAGUUCCAUCCAUUUACAGUUAGGGCGAUAAUAGAUAUACGAAGACUUACUACUGCCAUUUUAUCUUUUGUUUUCUGAUUGCUCUGUCUGCACUGUUUCUUUUCUCUUAUGUUUCUGUCUACCAUAGUAGUUUGGUGGGUUUCUAUGCUGUUUUUCUCAGCUUCCUCUUUUUUUGUGUUUUGUGUCUCUGCUCUAGAUUUUUAUUUUGUGGUUACCAUGAGGUUUAUAUAAAACAUCUCACAGAUAAAAUACUCCUUUUUCUGCUGAUAGCAUCUUAUCUUCAUUUGCCUGUACGAGUUCUGUCCUUUUUCUCCUCCCCUUUUGUGUUUUUGUUGUCACAAAUUAUUCCUUUUUCUGUUGUGAGUUUGUUACCAAAUUGAAGUAUAGUUAAUUUUAAUGUUUUUUCCCUUUAACCUUUAUGCUAUAAUUGCUUAACACCCUAUUCUGAAAUAGAGUUGCAAUUUCCUGGUUCUGUCCAUCUAUUUACUCCUUACUCAAAGUUUUGUGUACUUUUUGCCUUUUGUUUCAGGUAGAAGAGCUCCUUUCAGCAUUUUUUGUAAGGUGGGUUUAGUGGUGGUGAAUCUCUCAGCUUUUGUUUGUCUGGAAAAGUCUUUAUUUCUUCUUCAUAUCUGAAAGAUAACUUUGCUGGAUAGAGUAUUCUUGGCUAGCAGUUUUUGUCUUUAAAUUUUUUUUUUUUGAGGAAGAUUGGUGCUGAGCUAACAUGUGCUGUCAAUCCUCCUCUUUUUUGCUGAAGAAGACUGGCCCUGAGCUAACAUCUGUGCCCAUCUUCCUCUAAUUUAUAUGUGGGACGCCUGUCAUGGCAUGACUUGAUAAGUGAUGCUGGGUCUGCACCUGGGAUCUGAACUGGUGAACCCUAGGCUGCUGAAGCAGAAUGUGCGAACUUAAUUGCUGCAUCCACAGGCUGGCCCCCAAAUACAUUUCAUUCACUCCUGGCCUGUAGAGUUUCUGCUGAGAAAUCUUCUGAUAACCUAAUGGGGGUUCUUUUGUAGGAUACUGGUUUUUUCUCCCUGGUUGCCUUUAAAAUUCUUUCUUUCUCAUUGACUUUUGACAGUUUAAUAUAAUGUAUCUUGGAGAAGGCCUUUUUGGAUUGAGAUAAUUAGGUGUUCUGUUAUCUUUGUUGAUUUGUAUAUCUAGUUUCUUCCUCAGGUUUGGGAAGAUCUUAGCCAUUAUUUCUUUGAAUAAGCUGUCUGCUUCCUUCUCCCUCUCUUCUCCUUCUGGGAUAUCCAUUAUCCUUAUGUUGCCUUUUCUAAUGAAGUUGGAUAGUUAUCUUAGAGUUUCUUUAUUUUUAAAAAAUCUUAGUUCUCUCUCUUCUUCCACCUGAAUCAUUUCUAGAUUUCUAUCUUUGAGCUCGAUAAUUCUCUCUUCUUGUGGUCUGCUCUAUUUCCAAAGAUUUCUAAUGCAUUCUUCAUCUCAUUUAUUGAGUUCUUCAGCUCCAGAAUUUCUGUUUGGUUCUUUUUUAGAGUUUCAGUCUCUGGUAAAGUACUACUUCUGUUCAUUAAUUUUAUUCAUGAGUUUGUUGAACUGCCCUUCUGAUUUUUUUUUUAGCUUUGUUGAGUUUCUUCAUGACAGCUAUUUUGAAUUCUCUGUCACAUCACAAUCUUCCAUUACGUUGUUUGGUUUUUGGAGAAUUGUCAUUUUCUUUUUGUGAUACUAUGUUACCACAGUUUUUCACGGUGCAUGGUGAGUUCUUCCUCUACUGGUGCAUUUGAAGUUGCAAACACCUUUCUUAUUUAUGUAAAGCUUUAUUUACUUUGAUUCUAACAAUUCAAUAGAUUGGUAAUUAGAGACCUUUCUUUUGUUUUCCUCUAGGUGGUGCUAUCGCAUGAGUUUUUGGUUUCUCUUAUGUGAGCUGCCUCUGGCUAUAUUUGUGAGCAGGCACUUUUCACCCUCUACUCCCUCUGUCAGAGAUGUCACUGGUGCCCUUAUUGUCACUGCUUGGGCCUCCAGAGGUGCUGGCACCUUGCUGCUGCUGGUGCCACUGUGGAUGCAAGAGUCACCACCAGGGUCACCAGGAUGGCAGAUGUACAAUGUGUGGAUCCCUCUGGCAUCCUGGUGUGCUGAGCAGAGGGAACUUUGUUGAGUUAUAAACAUCCCACUAGUUGUAGAUUGAAGAGGACCAACAAAGGAAGCGUCUCAUGCUGCCAUGAUGCCGAUAUGACUCCAUAAAUCUUUUCAGUGUCAUUUUUAAUAGAGGUCCAAUGUUCCACUGGGUGAACAGAUCGUAAUUUAUUUAACAAUUUCCUGUUGUUAAAUAUUUGUAUUGUUUUAGUAAGCAACAUACAAUAAGCAUAAAUAGAUAUGCUUUUUAAAGACUCUUAUCUUUUAAUGUGUGUUCAUCUGUUUUCGUCUAGACUUCAUUCUAGAUUCUAGUUCUGCAGUGAGAUUUGCCAAAAUUUAAAUUGCAGAACUGUGGGAUGUUACCCUUGGUUCAUUAUAUCUUUCAUUCAUUUAUCCAACAAAUAUUUAUUGACUGCCAACUCUGUGCCAGGCCGUGUGCUAGGUACUCAGGAUACAAUGAUGAAGAAGAUAGAGGUGGUCCUUGUUCUGGAGCAGUUUAGUUUUAUAUGGGAGAAACACAAUAAGUAAUGAUGAAAAGUUAGAUAAGUGUCGUUAUAGAGGAAUUGUAAGCAUCCAAGGGAGCACAUGAGAGAGGUAAUUAUUCUAGACUCUGGAGGAGGGGUGGUUAAGGGGAAAGUGUUCUCAUUGCAUGAGAAUUCCCUGUGCCAUACAUUCUCAUAGUUGGAAAUGACUUAAAACGUCAUUUAGUUCAAACCUCAUUUGCUGCUGGAAUUCUCUGUAUCAAGUGGUAAUUGAUCCAAUAGCAUAGAGCUUUGCAGUAUGGUCAGUGGAUUUAGACCACCUGGAUUUGAGUCCUGGCUCUCCUCAUUUACUAUCUGCAUGUGUUAUUUUGGGCAGGUUGCUUAAAAUCCAUGUGCCUGUUUCAUCUGUAAAAUUGGAUAAUAGUAGUAUCUACUUAAAAGUGCUGUUGUGAUAGGCUAUUUAAUAUAGAGAAUGCACUUAAAAGAAUGUCUGACACACAGUAUACAUGCAGUUCAUGCAUACUCAUUCAUGCCGUGGUCAUGUUGAUAGGGAUCUCACUGUCCACUGAAACAUUUGGAUUGUUAGAAAAUCAUUCUUCAUGAUAGGCUGAGAUUGGGCCCCUGUAGCUUUUACCUGGAAAAUGUUCCUACCUGAAAAAAUGGAAGCAAUUUCAGGGAGGCAGAUUCCAGUUCAAUUUAAUGAAGGAUUGUCCAACUUUUAGAGCUGUCUAAAAGAAAUGGACUGCCUCAGGAGGGGCAAUUUUCACAAGUUAAAAUAACCACACACUUUCGUGGUUUGGAUAAAAUCCAAAAUAGCAGAUUUCAGAGCUUAUCUAUACUACAAGUGGACUCUGAAAUGCAUUUGGAAAGCAUGUGAACACAGACACAUUAAACUUUGAUUUUGUACUGUAGUGACACUGUCAUUGGCAAACCCAACUUGAAAUUACAGAUUUGCGUCAGCACAUGAGCACAUUAUCUUGCACUGAAUUCCACAAAGGGAUCAGUAUUCCCACCAUGCUCAGAUUAAACUUGGCUCUGUGACAGAGAAUCAGUGACCACGCUCCUUCGGUACAUCAGUCAGUCAAUAUUAGUGGUGAAAUUUAGAUUAUGACAUUGGCAAUCAAAACCAGCCUUCUAUCAGAGAUUCUUCGAAAUAUUUCUCCUACAAUGAAGAGACCUUAAAAACAAGACAAAAGGAACUAUGCUACAUUUUGUUAAGCUUGUUACCAAGACUUAAGUGAAAUAAAUAUUCUUACAACUGAGAUUCUUACCAUGGGUUUCCUAGUGUGAAAGGUUUCUGACAGAUUUUGGACUAAUGCAAACAACUAUGCUUUGAAACAGAGUUUAAGUGGGGACUGAUGUAUGCUUAUCAGUUUUGAAUGGAUUUACAAUUCAUGAAACCUUUAGAUGACAGAAAAGAAUGACUACUGCGUGAGUCACCUUGGUGAAGGUCACAGUUAUAACCAAGAGAGGCCAACAGUACAUCAAGGCUUUGAAUGGAGCCUAGCAGGAGCCCACUGCUACUGCUGCAGUGGCCAUUUGGAAACAGGAAGAGACUGACCCGACGCCCAGUCUCUUAUCUCUUCUUGUAUGGUAUUUUUAUGUCCUUCAAGAUAUAAUCUGUUGUAUAACUGAGCAGUUCAUUCUUUGAGGAUAUUACUCAAGUUGGAUUAUUUCUAGGGUCAAACUAUUAUAAUACCAGGGAACUAUGUAGAGAUUUACAUUUGAAAAUUAGAAGUGGUGUCAUGUGGGAUAGUGUUAUAAUACGUUGUAGGGGGUUUUUUCGUUUAAAAAAUGUUUGGCUCCUCUACUUUUAGAUGAGUUUACCAACUUUGAAGGGGCAAUUUCUUUGGCUCAUUUGAACUCAGAACUGACUUCCUUAACCUUUUGAAACCACUUCUCUUUUCUCAGUGAAGGUCAACAUCAUCUACCAGCCACCCAGGCUCAAAUCUGAGUCUCAAAACUGCAGUGUCUCAGGACUGGAAGGGACCUUAAAGGGUUCUUAGUUCAGUCACCGAUUUGAUACUUAAAGGCUUUACCACCAUCUAAUUUGUGAUUCCCAAAGAAUCUGAGUACUUACCCGGUACCAGGCACUAUAUUCAUUCUACUGAAUAAUCAUUUCUGCCGGAUAUUGAACACCUCUGGGAAGAAAGAAGAUGUACUCAUAACAAGGUGCAGCCUGCUCUGGUGGAAGAGACAGCUGAGAACGUUUUAAUAUGAUGUAGUGAGUGCUUUUCAGGGGUGAUGCAGAGAGGGAGGGUGCCUAGCCCAGAGGAGGCUCCAGGAAGGGAGUUAGGGCCUGCUUUCUAGAGUAGGGGACAUUAGCACUGAGUGUUAAAGGAUGUAUAGGAGUGACCCAGGCAUCUGGCAAAUGUGUGUUCCAGGCAAGGAAACUGCAAAGGCAAAAUCCCAGAGGGACCACAUGUAUCUCUCUCAAUCUUGGUUUCCCCAUUUGUGAUAGUGUAUACUUUGCAGGAGUGUUGUACGGAAUAAAUGAGAGAAUAUUUAUCUUUAUAAAAGAUAUAGUAAGCGC